GCACUGCUGAGGAGUCCCAUACUAGGACGAAACGGUCAGCUGUCCAGUAC
This is a non-coding RNA of Schistosoma curassoni, 50 nucleotides long. The record is from Rfam. NCBI's taxonomy places the organism in Eukaryota, Metazoa, Platyhelminthes, Trematoda, Strigeidida, Schistosomatidae.